UUGAAAUUCCGUAGCCACCUUAUCGAUUAAAAGCUGACACAUGGAGAUAGCGGGACCCGGGCGUUGGUUGACCCGGGCGAAAGGGACCGUAAUCAAGUAGGGAAGUCCGCGAUGCUCUGUGGCGAGAAAAGGCGAAGGUAAGGUGCCCGUACCGCAAACCGACACAGGUAGAUGAGGAGAGAAUCCUAAGGCCAACGGGAAAAAGGUUGUUAAGGAACUCGGCAAAAUUGCCCCGUAACUUCGGGAGAAGGGGCGCCUCCGAAAGGAGGCCGCAGUGAAAAGGCCCAAGCGACUGUUUACCAAAAACACAGGUCUCUGCUAAAUCAAAAGAUGACGUAUAGGGGCUGACGCCUGCCCGGUGCUGGAAGGUUAAGAGGAGAGCUUAGCGCAAGCGAAGGCUUGAAUUUAAGCCCCAGUAAACGGCGGCCGUAACAAUAACGGUCCUAAGGUAGCGAAAUUCCUUGUCAGGUAAGUUCUGACCCGCACGAAUGGCGUAACGAUUUGGGCGCUGUCUCAACAGCCUACCCGGCGAAAUUGUAGUACCGGUGAAGAUGCCGGUUACCCGCAACUAGACGGAAAGACCCCAUGGAGCUUUACUGCAGCUUAAUACUGAGAUUCGGUAAUUCAUGUACAGGAUAGGUGGGAGACUUGGAAACAGGGGCGUCAGCUUCUGCGGAGUCACCCUUGGGAUACCACCCUUGGAUUGCUGGGUUUCUAACCUGCGGCCAUGAAUCUGGUCGGGGGGACACUGUUAGGCGGGCAGUUUGACUGGGGCGGUCGCCUCCUAAAAAGUAGCGGAGGCGCUCAAAGCUUGGCUCAGCAUGGAUGGAAAUCAUGCAAUGAGUGUAAACGUAUAAGCCAAGUUGACUGCGAGACCGACGGGUCGAGCAGGGACGAAAGUCGGAGUUAGUGAUCCGGUGGUAUGUGAGUGGAAAUGCCAUCGCUCAACGGAUAAAAGCUACCCUGGGAUAACAGGCUGAUCUCCCCCAAGCGUCCACAGCGACGGGGAGGUUUGGCACCUCGAUGUCGGCUCGUCGCAUCCUGGGGCUGUAUUCGGUCCCAAGGGUUUGGCUGUUCGCCAAUUAAAGCGGCACGCGAGCUGGGUUCAGAACGUCGUGAGACAGUUCGGUCCCUAUCUGUUGCGGGCGUAAGAGAUUUGAAGGGAGCUGUCCUUAGUACGAGAGGACCGGGAUGGACUGACCUCUGGUGCACCAGUUGUUCUGCCAAGGGCAUAGCUGGGUAGCUACGUCGGGACGAGAUAAACGCUGAAGGCAUCUAAGCGUGAAACUCCCCCUAAGAUAAGAUCUCUCAUCCCGAAAAGGAGUAAGGCUCGUCGUAGACUAUGACGUUGAUAGGUCAGGGGUGGAAGCACAGUAAUGUGUGCAGCUGACUGAUACUAAUAAGCCGAGGGCUAGACC
RNAcentral lists this ribosomal RNA (1418 nucleotides) under metagenome. RNAcentral's name for it is "bacterial LSU rRNA". It matches the Rfam family "Bacterial large subunit ribosomal RNA", at positions 1430 to 2925 of the family's 2925-position model. The record is from RNAcentral.